RNAcentral lists this ribosomal RNA (429 nucleotides) under Chloroflexota bacterium. Its description in RNAcentral is "Chloroflexi bacterium partial 16S ribosomal RNA". It matches the Rfam family "Bacterial small subunit ribosomal RNA", at positions 355 to 776 of the family's 1533-position model. The record is from RNAcentral. Lineage: Bacteria; Bacillati; Chloroflexota.
UGGGGAAUAUUGCACAAUGGGCGCAAGCCUGAUGCAGCCAUGCCGCGUGUAUGAAGAAGGCCUUCGGGUUGUAAAGUACUUUCAGCGGGGAGGAAGGGAGUAAAGUUAAUACCUUUGCUCAUUGACGUUACCCGCAGAAGAAGCACCGUCUAACUCCAUGCCAGCAGCCGCGGUAAUACGGAGGGUGCAAGCGUUAAUCGGAAUUACUGGGCGUAAAGCGCACGCAGGCGGUUUGUUAAGUCAGAUGUGAAAUCCCCGGGCUCAACCUGGGAACUGCAUCUGAUACUGGCAAGCUUGAGUCUCGUAGAGGGGGGUAGAAUUCCAGGUGUAGCGGUGAAAUGCGUAGAGAUCUGGAGGAAUACCGGUGGCGAAGGCGGCCCCCUGGACGAAGACUGACGCUCAGGUGCGAAAGCGUGGGGAGCAAACAGG